Peromyscus eremicus (cactus mouse) is the source of this 1552-nucleotide long non-coding RNA. RefSeq lists it as uncharacterized. Lineage: Eukaryota; Metazoa; Chordata; Mammalia; Rodentia; Cricetidae. The record is from RefSeq and is a predicted model, not a curated record. The transcript has 3 exons.
UACUGGAAUAUGACUGAAGAGAAAACUGUCAGUGUCUAACGGUCUUUACUGGAAGGAAAAACCUAUUCCCUUGUUUACAGUGGGGUGUGGAUACAGCUCCAUGCAGGUGAGUGUUCUAGGUUGCUAACAGGUUACUAGUGCAUUCUUAGGAGAAGGAUGUGCGUAACCAAACGAAGUUCCAAAUUGCUAAGCUAUGCACUAUGCAUAUCCUCAACUUCACUGAGAGACUUUUCUCCAUAAUUUACCAGGGGAGUUGAAGAUCAGUCUUUGAACUGCUUUGUGCUGUGUAGAGGUCUAAAGCAGAAUAGGGCGAAAUCCUCUAACCGAUUCUGUAGUUAAUGCUGUUAUAUCUUCCGAGCCUCCAUUGGUGAAAGCCCAGAAAAUUUCUCAGGCUGCUGGUCCAGGGACGAACAGAUAACUCCCUUUGCCUGUUUUGUCAAUCCUGGCGGCAGCUGUUGAUGGAGCACCAUUUGCAAUUGGAGUUGUUGGGUUCUGAAGACAUAAACUGUAUAAUUAUGGAGAAGAGGAAGGCUAAGAGUGAACCGAAGAAUCAGGGAGAGGGUUUGGAAUUUAGUUACUUGGGGGUAACCAACUGGCACUAUGGUUGAAGACGUGUUAUCCUGUGUUUCUGAAGUCCAUGAAGAUGCUGUGAUAAAUCUGGGGUAGUGAACUUCUCUUUGCAAUGGAUGGAAACCAUUACAGAGAACCACAACCAAUGAAAAUGCCAAAAUAAAUAAUGAUGUGCUACCCAGUCCCAAAUGAUGCAUCUACAACAAAAAUCCUGCACCUACACCUCAAGGAUCAUUGCAGAAAUAUUGUAAAAAGCCAGAGGAAUAGGGCGUUUGCUGUGAGAUCUUAUCUCCUAGAAGUGUCAGAAGUUACACCCAUCUAUUUCACCAAUGUGACUGCCUAACCAUGAGCUGAACAAGAGUAAGAACAGCAGACAUGCUAAUGUGGAUGGGGAAAGCUCAUGCGGCCUGAAAGCAGGACAAACAGUCUUCUCCAGGAAAGAGCACAGCAAUGGCUUCUCCAAUACCAAAUGGUCAACAUCCAAAAUGUAUAAAUACAAGUAACAGUAUACAGACUGAACAGGUUGUAUUUAGCAACACAACACACAUACUACCACCACCAUCACCAAAACAACAACAACAAUAAUAAUAAUUAAAGAAAAAGAGCCCAUGAAUUUGAAUGAAAGGGUUUGGAAUAAGAAAGUAAUGCAAUUAUGAUCUCACAAAUUAUUUAUUAAAAGGAAGUGAGAUCAAAGCCUUCAACCUAAUUACUGGGAAACAAUGAAAUCUCAACCUGUGUGUAAGUGAAUCAUGAAGAAGUACCAACAGUGCCCCAAGUCUUAUUUCCCUAACUCCUACCUGUCCUCUUUCACAGGCCUGGGCUGGGACUUCAUUUAUCACCUCAUUUCCACUGUCCUUUCUCUAUGAGGGGGCAUUAUGAUACUUCAGCACCCUACGUGUCAAUUUCACCCAAGACUCCCCUAUCCCUCAAUAUCCCCUGAAGACUCACAGCUCACGGGCACAGCCCAGUUUAUGGCCUUGCC